GGAUAAGAGAGACCCUGAAUUUGGAGACAAGCUGGAGAUAGUGGGAGGCCUAGCCAGCUGAUGUGAGAUUUGACCUGCCAACCAUGCACGCAUGAGGAAAAGCAUCACAGAGCGGGAGGAAGAACUCACAGCACUGCAGUGUCGUCUGCUCACCGAAUCCUGUAGUGGCAUAUUUGGAGAAGGACUCUUCAUACAACAUUGACUUCAGAGCAACUCCCAGUGCCAGACUCAAUAAGGAGACAUGAAAAAAUGAAUGCGAGUUGUAGAAAGCUGCAGACUUAAAAGGCAACUAGAAAAGGACAGCCCUGCACAGCACUGCAUCAUUUAUAUCACUUUUAUGUAAGUGUGCCAACUUCCUUGAUUUAUGUGUGUGUAUAUUUGGACUUAUCUUCC
Molecule: long non-coding RNA, 393 nt
Filed under: Apteryx rowi (Okarito brown kiwi)
Lineage: Eukaryota; Metazoa; Chordata; Aves; Apterygiformes; Apterygidae
Description: lncRNA (ENSARWG00000011500.1)
Source: RNAcentral